GAUAUCAUUGUCGUUCAAGAAUAUUGUUAAGUGAUGCUGUAAACACGAAAUUUUCCUGAAACGAAAGAGACAAGAACAACGUGUACAAAAUAAUAUUUGUAUUUGAUGAUUUUGGGUUACAAUCUCUCUCAAAUUUGAUCAUCUGAUUCGAUCUCCGUAAGGUAUUGAUUUGUGGAUGUUUCGUUGAUCCAAGGGCCGU
RNAcentral lists this long non-coding RNA (199 nucleotides) under Malus domestica (apple). RNAcentral describes it as "long non-coding RNA (MDOM_LNC012127)". The record is from RNAcentral. Lineage: Eukaryota; Viridiplantae; Streptophyta; Magnoliopsida; Rosales; Rosaceae.